GAUGAACGCGGGCGGCGUGCCUAAUACAUGCAAGUCGAGCGAACGGACGAGAAGCUUGCUUCUCUGAUGUUAGCGGCGGACGGGUGAGUAACACGUGGAUAACCUACCUAUAAGACUGGGAUAACUUCGGGAAACCGGAGCUAAUACCGGAUAAUAUUUUGAACCGCAUGGUUCAAAAGUGAAAGACGGUCUUGCUGUCACUUAUAGAUGGAUCCGCGCUGCAUUAGCUAGUUGGUAAGGUAACGGCUUACCAAGGCAACGAUGCAUAGCCGACCUGAGAGGGUGAUCGGCCACACUGGAACUGAGACACGGUCCAGACUCCUACGGGAGGCAGCAGUAGGGAAUCUUCCGCAAUGGGCGAAAGCCUGACGGAGCAACGCCGCGUGAGUGAUGAAGGUCUUCGGAUCGUAAAACUCUGUUAUUAGGGAAGAACAUAUGUGUAAGUAACUGUGCACAUCUUGACGGUACCUAAUCAGAAAGCCACGGCUAACUACGUGCCAGCAGCCGCGGUAAUACGUAGGUGGCAAGCGUUAUCCGGAAUUAUUGGGCGUAAAGCGCGCGUAGGCGGUUUUUUAAGUCUGAUGUGAAAGCCCACGGCUCAACCGUGGAGGGUCAUUGGAAACUGGAAAACUUGAGUGCAGAAGAGGAAAGUGGAAUUCCAUGUGUAGCGGUGAAAUGCGCAGAGACAUGGAGGAACACCAGUGGCGAAGGCGACUUUCUGGUCUGUAACUGACGCUGAUGUGCGAAAGCGUGGGGAUCAAACAGG
RNAcentral lists this ribosomal RNA (766 nucleotides) under Staphylococcus aureus. Its description in RNAcentral is "bacterial SSU rRNA". It matches the Rfam family "Bacterial small subunit ribosomal RNA", at positions 28 to 776 of the family's 1533-position model. The record is from RNAcentral. Lineage: Bacteria; Bacillati; Bacillota; Bacilli; Caryophanales; Staphylococcaceae.